Molecule: microRNA precursor, 105 nt
Filed under: Phlebotomus papatasi
Lineage: Eukaryota; Metazoa; Arthropoda; Insecta; Diptera; Psychodidae
Description: mir-965 microRNA precursor family
Rfam family: mir-965 microRNA precursor family (bases 16-90)
Source: RNAcentral
AUUUCAGAAGUGCGAUAUCUAGGGGGAAAUCCUGUACGUUUUAUGUGGAUAUAUUCAAAAUCAUAAGCGUAUAGCUUUUCCCCUUUGGUGUUGUGCAAUCAAUCA